RNAcentral lists this ribosomal RNA (275 nucleotides) under uncultured Caldithrix sp. RNAcentral describes it as "partial 16S ribosomal RNA". It matches the Rfam family "Bacterial small subunit ribosomal RNA", at positions 1106 to 1382 of the family's 1533-position model. Lineage: Bacteria; Pseudomonadati; Calditrichota; Calditrichia; Calditrichales; Calditrichaceae. The record is from RNAcentral.
UGUCCUUAGUUGCCAUCAGGUUAUGCUGGGAACUCUAAGGGGACUGCCCCAGACAAUGGGGAGGAAGUGGGGACGACGUCAAGUCAUCAUGGCCCUUACGUCCAGGGCUACACACGUGCUACAAUGGUCGGUACAACGGGAGGCAAUACCGCGAGGUGGAGCAAAUCCUGAAAACCGGCCUCAGUUCAGAUUGCAGUCUGCAACUCGACUGCAUGAAGUCGGAAUCGCUAGUAAUCGCGGAUCAGCAUGCCGCGGUGAAUACGUUCCCGGGCCUU